CCCAAAUGUAUUCCUGCUCUAGAAGUUGAAGAAGACAUCAUAGAAAACAUUUAGUAGAAUUUUAAGAAAAAAAUAAAUCAAGUGUCAAUCAAGUAUCUGUCAUUCGAACAGCUUUCUUGUAUGCCAAAGAAAUCUUUAAGUGUCGCAAAGUUUCAAUUGUAAAAAUAGUAGAACACGAGAUAUCAGCAAAUACUCUACUCACGGGACAUGACAACUGAAGCUUUCAAACUGCGGACAUGUACUCAUGUUACACUACAUAAAUACGGCUCCAAGAGCUCAGACGAGCUUAACGGCACUCGCACAUCGAUUGCUCACAUCAGCAAUUCUAUCGCAAUGCCGCUAGAAUGACUUCCAAGGUCAAGCUUCUCCUUGACAGUGAUAGGGAAAAGUGGACGGAGGACCAGAACUUCAUCAACGACUUUUACAGGUAUUGCUCCGCCGCACUACUGUACCCAGUGCGCGUUCGGUUAGCUCUCACCAGAAGCCAGCCUAAUAAGACUUUUACAGACCUUGACAGCUCAUCUGAACUGGACCACACGCUCAAAAAGCGCAUUUACACUUCUGUUAUUUGGCUAAUUUAUAUGUCUCACUUACCUGCAGUGCCGUAAAAAAAAAAAAAAAAAAAAAAAAAAAAAA
This is a long non-coding RNA of Stegodyphus dumicola, 636 nucleotides long. The record is from RefSeq and is a predicted model, not a curated record. NCBI's taxonomy places the organism in Eukaryota, Metazoa, Arthropoda, Arachnida, Araneae, Eresidae.